UAGCAUAUCAAUAAGCGGAGGAAAAGAAACCAACAGGGAUUGCCCUAGUAACGGCGAGUGAAGCGGCAACAGCUCAAAUUUGAAAUCUGGCUCUUUCAGAGUCCGAGUUGUAAUUUGCAGAGGGCGCUUUGGCUUUGGCAGCGGUCCAAGUUCCUUGGAACAGGACGUCACAGAGGGUGAGAAUCCCGUACGUGGUCGCUAGCUAUUGCCGUGUAAAGCCCCUUCGACGAGUCGAGUUGUUUGGGAAUGCAGCUCUAAAUGGGAGGUAAAUUUCUUCUAAAGCUAAAUAUUGGCCAGAGACCGAUAGCGCACAAGUAGAGUGAUCGAAAGAUGAAAAGCACUUUGGAAAGAGAGUCAAACAGCACGUGAAAUUGUUGAAAGGGAAGCGCUUGCAGCCAGACUUGCUUGCAGUUGCUCAUCCGGGCUUUUGCCCGGUGCACUCUUCUGCAGGCAGGCCAGCAUCAGUUUGGGCGGUGGGAUAAAGGUCUCUGACACGUUCCUUCCUUCGGGUUGGCCAUAUAGGGGAGACGUCAUACCACCAGCCUGGACUGAGGUCCGCGCAUCUGCUAGGAUGCUGGCGUAAUGGCUGUAAGCGGCCCGUCUUGAAACACGGACCAAGGAGUCUAACAUCUAUGCGAGUGUUUGGGUGUCAAGCCCGAGCGCGUAAUGAAAGUGAACGGAGGUGGGAACCCGCAAGGGCGCACCAUCGACCGAUCCUGAAGUUUACGGAAGGAUUUGAGUAAGAGCAUGGCUGUUGGGACCCGAAAGAUGGUGAACUAUGCUUGAAUAGGGUGAAGCCAGAGGAAACUCUGGUGGAGGCUCGCAGCGGUUCUGACGUGCAAAUCGAUCGUCAAAUUUGGGCAUAGGGGCGAAAGACUAAUCGAACUAUCUAGUAGCUGGUUCCUGCGA
This 909-nucleotide ribosomal RNA is filed under the name Curvularia australiensis. RNAcentral's name for it is "LSU rRNA". It matches the Rfam family "Eukaryotic large subunit ribosomal RNA", at positions 36 to 963 of the family's 3401-position model. The record is from RNAcentral. Lineage: Eukaryota; Fungi; Ascomycota; Dothideomycetes; Pleosporales; Pleosporaceae.